AUCCAGUUGACGAGUCUAAAUGAGAACGAAACGCGCGUCAAACUGGAU
This 48-nucleotide non-coding RNA is filed under the name Schistosoma margrebowiei. The record is from RNAcentral. Lineage: Eukaryota; Metazoa; Platyhelminthes; Trematoda; Strigeidida; Schistosomatidae.